RNAcentral lists this unclassified non-coding RNA (232 nucleotides) under Hevea brasiliensis (rubber tree). Lineage: Eukaryota; Viridiplantae; Streptophyta; Magnoliopsida; Malpighiales; Euphorbiaceae. The record is from RNAcentral.
UGCUGAUCUGAAUGUCUUUUCUUCUGAACCUUUUGCUUUUGAUGCAGGUAUGCUUUGUUUCGAUUUUGAAACAUAUUGGAAUGGUCUGGCACAUGUGUAGCCACAAUUGCUAAUUGUGCUGAUUGAAAGUUGUUAAAGCUGGGCCUUUUGCGUUUUGACAGCAAAAUCACUGUUGGGUACUGAAAAAAAAAAGGAGUUUUUAAACUGUACAAUCAUUUUAGACUACAAGUGC